GACGAACGCUGGCGGCGUGCUUAACACAUGCAAGUCGAACGGAAAGGCCCGGCGUUUGUUGGUUGCUCGAGUGGCGAACGGGUGAGUAACACGUGAGUAACCUGCCCUUGACUUUGUGAUAACUUCAGGGAACUGGGGCUCAUAUCGGAUAGGAGCUCCUGCUGCAUGUUGGGGGUUGGUAAGUUUCGGCGGUUGGGGAUGGACUCGCGGCUUAUCAGCUUGUUUGUGUGGUAGUGGCUUACCAAGGGUUUGACGGGUAGCCGGCCUGAGAGGGUGACCGGCCACAUUGGGACUGAGAUAGGGCCCAGACUCCUACGGGAGGCAGCAGUGGGGAAUAUUGCACAAUGGGCGGAAGCCUGAUGCAGAAACGCCGCGUGCGGGAUGACGGCCUUCGGGUUGUAAACCGCUUUCGCCUGUGACGAAGCGUGAGUGACGGUACUGGGUAAAGAAGCAACGGCUAACUACGUG
RNAcentral lists this ribosomal RNA (468 nucleotides) under uncultured bacterium. RNAcentral describes it as "partial 16S ribosomal RNA". It matches the Rfam family "Bacterial small subunit ribosomal RNA", at positions 28 to 507 of the family's 1533-position model. The record is from RNAcentral.